Molecule: long non-coding RNA, 1086 nt
Organism: Oncorhynchus tshawytscha (Chinook salmon)
Lineage: Eukaryota; Metazoa; Chordata; Actinopteri; Salmoniformes; Salmonidae
Source: Ensembl
GUUUCCAUUUGAUUGGAAGGCUGUACAGGUGGUUUGGGGGAUGCGCAGUGUUGCCCAACGUCACAAUCGGUGGUGGUAUAAAUUCCCCUGGGUUUGUCCUCCAGUCAUUUAUCUUGAGAAAAGCCUGAGGCAGGAUAGCUACAUUACGCGCAAUUGUUGCUGGGAAGAUCCCGUUAACAAGAUGACUAAAAUGUUGAUGGCUUACAUUGGAUUUCUUCUCCUUGCCAUGCAUUUUUCAUCACAGCCCUUCUGCUCUCCCGUUUUAGGUCCACGCGCAAAAUGCUACAACACAGUCCCCUGCCAUGAAUGCUACGACCAGAGCUGGCGGUGCGAGUUCCAACAUGACCAAGAUGCCCGAUGUCACCAAGAACAACAACAUUGCCAAAGGAGCCAGUGCAUCCUUGCAGUCCAGUUCGGUUGCGCUCAUCAUACCCAUCAUGGUGGGGGGCUCACUACAGGGGCGCUUCUAGAGGGCUGUUGCGCAGUGAAUCGACACCGGCAAGACUUGAACAUCAGCGGCCGAGAUGGGGCAAACUUUUUACUAAGAGCACAUUUUGUAUAUACUUUUCAGAAAGGCAGUCAUGUGCGCUCCUAACCGAAGAGAUUCGGUGGAGUUCCGUGCUGGACGAGAACCCAUUUCUACUUCACUGAUGGGAGUUGUUUUUGCCCUCACACCUUCAAACCAGUAGGCCUUCACACCUCGCACACUGGCCCCAUGCUCAUAGGCCGAACGGUACGGUCCUCUCCAUGGAGGCAGUCCAUGAUGAGGAUGCACUCUGCUCUUUGAACCGUUUGGUCGACACCAGGGGUUGCUUAGUAAUUUGUUAAGAAGUUAACAUAUCUAAAGAAAUGUUGGUUGAGGCACUUUGAAAAUAAGGUAUAAAUGAAUCUGUGGCACAUGCACAGGCUUGAUGUACACUUGUGAUAUAUUUCUAGAAUAUGAAAUUGUAUGGGUUAGCAUGUGAGAUUUAAUUGUAUAAAUCAUGAUGUGAUAUGCUUAGAUUUGUUAAGGCCAGGCUCAAUUAACCUUUAAAAUGUAGGAUACUUGUGACCAUUUUCUUGUGUAAUAAAAAUAUUUUAACAUGA